GCCGCCGGCUGCGCCUGCGCACUGUCUGCCCACGCGGCGGAGGGCGCACGAGUGGCGGCGGCGAUGGAGGCCGGCCCGGGGCUGGGCCCGCGCAUCCGUGAGGGGGAUUGCGCCGUCCUGAAGCGGGACGACGUGUUCAAAGCGGUACCUGUGCUGCGGCGGAGAAAAAUUAUAUUUGAGAAGCAGUGGUUCUAUCUGGAUAACGCCAUUGGACAUAUUUAUGGAACCACAUUUGAAGUAACCAGUGGUGGAAACCUCCAGCCAAAGCAAGAGGUGGAAGAGACUACUACAGAAACAAAAGAAGCAGGUACAGAUAAUCGUAACAUAGUUGACGACGGAAAGUCUCAAAAACUGACUCAUGAUGACAUAAAGGCUUUGAAGGACAAAGGUAUUAAAGGACAGGAAAUAGUUCAACAGUUAAUAGAGAACAGUACAACGUUCAGAGACAAAACAGAAUUUGCUCAAGAUAAAUACAUAAAGAAGAAGAAAAAAAAAUAUGAGGCAGUUAUUACAAUUGUGAAGCCAUCCACUCGCAUUCUUUCAACAAUGUAUUAUGCAAGGGAACCUGGAAAAAUUAACCACUUGCGAUAUGACACCCUAGCUCAGAUGUUGACUUUAGGAAACAUCCGUGCUGGAAACAAAAUGAUUGUAAUGGAAACAUGUGCAGGACUUGUGCUGGGUGCGGUGAUGGAACGAAUGGGAGGCUAUGGAUCCAUUAUUCAGAUGUAUCCAGGAGGGGAACCUGUUAGAGCUGCUACCAGUUGUUUUGGAUUUCCAAAGGUUUUUUUCGAUAAUCUUCAUGAAUUUCCUCUUAGCAAAGUGGAUAGUCUCCUCUCUGGGACAUUUUCUACGGAGACUCUGCCUUCAGAACCUGAAGAUAACAUGCUAGUGGAAGAAGAAAGCAACGGAAUAACUGAUGGGAAGCAAACUUCCCUGCAGGAAACAGAAGAGGUAUCUACUACUGAAACAGCUAUGGAGGUCAAACAAACAGAAGAGCAAGAGACAAUGGACAUCAACACUGAAGAUGUAGAAUUUAGAGAGAACAAAGAAAAAGAAAAUAAAGAAAAUGUUCGGGAAAAGCAAAGAAAACAAUGGGAGAGAAGGAAAAAGCUAAUAGAAACUGCUACAUUGUUAAGAGAGAAGAAUGCUGAUGGCUUAAUUGUAGCCAGCAAGUUUCAUCCCACUCCUUUAUUACUUUCUUUAUUGGAAUUUGUUGCUCCUUCAAGGCCUUUUGUUGUCUACUGCCAGUAUAAAGAGCCAUUACUAGAAUGUUACGCAAAGCUGAGGGAAAGAGGUGGUGUUAUUAACCUAAAGCUGUCUGAAACCUGGCUACGAAACUACCAGGAACUGAACAAUGAGAACAAGAUGAGAAGGGGUGAAAAAUGUCAGUUUGACUAACUUUGUUUGAACAAGAUGUUUGCACAUGUGGAGUACCCUGUCAGCUGUGAAGCAGCAGAAGCGUAUCUGAUCUCUAAGCAGCUCACCACCUCUGAAGAGGUCUUACCAGAUCGAAGCCACCCAAAACUGACAAUGAGUGGAGGCGGAGGGUACCUUCUGUCUGGUAUAACUGUUGUCUUGGAUAAUGGCAAAUCUGAUUCCAGUAAUUUAGAUGCACUGAAGAUGGAGGAGCCAUCCUCUAAAAGAUGCAAAGUUCAAGACCUUCACUGUUAACAUUUGAAGAAUUGAUUUAUUUUUUUAGAUCUCAGGAGUCCUACUCUUAGUAAAAUAACAAGUAUACUUUCUGUGCUCUUGACAGCACAGAAAUUGUACCUGUCAUACAUCUGUCAGCAAAAAGCAGCAGAACUGUGGGGUAGGGAGGAUUGUCUCGCUCUUCACCAGUUUGUGAUCAGAAUGAGAAGAGAAACCCUUGGAAGCAAACUUCCCACUGGAAACACAGGAACUUCAAAAAGAAAAGAAGAUCAAAAGAAGAUAAAGCAACAGCAAAGGCAUCCUGUUUGUUUGUUGCCAAAAGUGGAUAUGAUGAAGUGGUUUUUUAAAAGGUUGAAUCCAAAUUAACAUCUCUAACAUAGCUUCCUGUUUCCCCAGAACAGCAUCAGGGUAAACCAUUCUGCAUAGUGAUCUGCUCCCACUUCACACACAGAACAAAGAGCAAAAUGAAAUGAACAGCAAAAAUCAUACACUUUUCAAAGGAAAAAGAAGAGAAUACUAAUACCAGAACUUUACAGCGUGACCCCAUGUUUUCCUGAAAUAAACACAGAAGAGAAAAUCCAUGUUCGUAAAUUAAAAUACCAAAUACUUAAGCGGAAUGUCUCUAUUACUGUUGUCUGUCAUGUUCCUGAGUUAUGUUUUUACUUUAAGAUACAACUGUUUUGAAAACCUCUACAUGUAUAUAUAUUUAUUCUACUAUUUUAUCUUUCAUGAUUUGUAGCUUUUUAUUAUUUUUUAACUUUGCAUUUGCCAUUUCAAUUAAACUGCAGGAUGUUUUUUCCUAAGGAGAUUUACUUCCUUCUUCUUACUUUUCCCUCUCUUUGGAAAUAAAAAGGUCUAGCAGAGAACACCCUUGGCUGCACCCCACUAAACCCCCAGUGGGCAGCUGUAGGCCCAUAUGGGAGCUCACAGAGCCAGCAGGACUUGGCUUCUGUUCUUGAACUUACUCAUCAGUGAGACUCUGGAGCUUUGGGAUCAAGUGAUCAGCUUUAAAAUUCUGUAUAGUGACAAGAGUAAUGCUCUUCUAGGACACCACUAGCUUAAAACAAAGCAGGUGUUACAUUUUGUUUAAAGAAGCAGAUAAAGAGUUCUCUUAGAUGAACAGUAUAUCUUGAAGUUUUUGACUAACUCUGGCCCAUUUCUUUUUUUUUUUCUAUUUUUCUGGAAAGCUUUUCUUCUCUUACUUACGUGAAAAAGCUGUAACAGGAGCGACUGCAAGUGUCACCAUCUCCUCUGUGUUUCACCAACCAUGUGGAUCUAAAAAAUAUCUUUUGCCCCUCUCACCUUUCUGUACAGUAUGAGUGUUGCAGAUCACAUGUAGGGAAUAGAGAUGUGAUACCUGUUUUUUACUAA
Molecule: RNA transcript, 3021 nt
Organism: Columba livia (rock pigeon)
Lineage: Eukaryota; Metazoa; Chordata; Aves; Columbiformes; Columbidae
Gene: TRMT6
Gene name: tRNA methyltransferase 6 non-catalytic subunit
Exons: 12
Source: RefSeq, a predicted model, not a curated record